This 196-nucleotide small nuclear RNA is filed under the name Trifolium pratense (red clover). Its description in RNAcentral is "snRNA U2". It matches the Rfam family "U2 spliceosomal RNA". Rfam says of the family: U2 is a small nuclear RNA (snRNA) component of the spliceosome (involved in pre-mRNA splicing). Complementary binding between U2 snRNA (in an area lying towards the 5' end but 3' to hairpin I) and the branchpoint sequence (BPS) of the intron results the bulging out of an unpaired adenosine, on the BPS, which initiates a nucleophilic attack at the intronic 5' splice site, thus starting the first of two transesterification reactions that mediate splicing. The record is from RNAcentral. Lineage: Eukaryota; Viridiplantae; Streptophyta; Magnoliopsida; Fabales; Fabaceae.
AUACCUUUCUCGGCCUUUUGGCUAAGAUCAAGUGUAGUAUCUGUUCUUAUCAGUUUAAUAUCUGAUAUGUGGACCAAUGGUCCACACGAUAUUAAAUUUAUUUUUUGAGGGGGAGAGUCCACUACAGUAGCUUGCUAUUGGGCCUCUCAAGCGUCGCUUUUGUGUUGCACUAUUGCAAUUGCCUGGCGCACCCCAC